UACGAAGGGGGCUAGCGUUGCUCGGAAUUACUGGGCGUAAAGGGCGCGUAGGCGGACAGUUAAGUUGGGGGUGAAAGCCCGGGGCUCAACCUCGGAAUUGCCUUCAAUACUGGCUGUCUUGAGUUCGGGAGAGGUGAGUGGAAUGCCGAGUGUAGAGGUGAAAUUCGUAGAUAUUCGGCGGAACACCAGUGGCGAAGGCGACUCACUGGCCCGAUACUGACGCUGAGGCGCGAAAGCGUGGGGAGCAAACAGG
This 253-nucleotide ribosomal RNA is filed under the name uncultured bacterium. RNAcentral describes it as "partial 16S ribosomal RNA". It matches the Rfam family "Bacterial small subunit ribosomal RNA", at positions 524 to 776 of the family's 1533-position model. The record is from RNAcentral.